Molecule: ribosomal RNA, 602 nt
Filed under: uncultured Isosphaera sp.
Lineage: Bacteria; Pseudomonadati; Planctomycetota; Planctomycetia; Isosphaerales; Isosphaeraceae
Description: bacterial SSU rRNA
Rfam family: Bacterial small subunit ribosomal RNA
Source: RNAcentral
GUUUGAUCCUGGUUCAGAAUGAACGUUGGCGGCGUGGAUUAGGCAUGCAAGUCGAACGGGCCUGAUAGCAAUAUCAGGUCAGUGGCGUAAGGGUGAGUAAGGCGACGGCAACCAACCCCAUGGUUGGGCAUAGCCGCGGGAAACUGCGGGUAAUUCCCAGCGAAGUUCAUACCGGGCAUCCGGUGUGAACCAAAGUUCUGGCGCCGUGGGACGGGCCGUCGUGGUAUUAGGUAGUUGGCGGGGUAAUGGCCCACCAAGCCUCUGAUGCCUACCGGGCGUGCGAGCGUGGCCCGGCACACUGGGACUGAGACACUGCCCAGACUCCUACGGGAGGCUGCAGUCGAGAAUCUUCGGCAAUGGGCGCAAGCCUGACCGAGCGACGCCGCGUGGAGGAUGAAGGCCUUCGGGUUGUAAACUCCUGUCGAGGGGGAGGAAGGGGUAACCUUGACCUAUCCCUGGAGGAAGCACGGGCUAAGUUCGUGCCAGCAGCCGCGGUAAGACGAACCGUGCGAAUGUUAUUCGGAAUCACUGGGCUUAAAGCGCGUGUAGGCGGAUGGGGACGUCGGUAGCUGAAAUCCCCCGGCUCACCGGGGGAGUGGCGC